GCUUGACUGUGGCUUGAAGCUGGAGGUGGAUGAAGAGGCUUGAGAAGACCUUGGUUGACCCUGAUUCCUGAAGGAACGGCUUUCAAGAUUUUCGUCUGUAUUUUCACUGAAUAGCCCGGAGGCAUCAAAAGCUCCGAAGAUGUCAUGGGAGCAGACGAACUGCUAUCCUAACAGACUAAAUGACAUGGGGAGAGAAAAAGCUGAUUUAUGAUUAAACUGCCUGCAAAACCAGCUCCAUGAACAAGUCAAGGAAAAUAAGGGGAAAAUAGAAGACUCACUCAGCAGCUAUUCCAUCAGGAUGAAAA
Non-coding RNA from Pogona vitticeps (central bearded dragon), 305 nucleotides. The record is from RefSeq and is a predicted model, not a curated record. NCBI's taxonomy places the organism in Eukaryota, Metazoa, Chordata, Lepidosauria, Squamata, Agamidae.